This 253-nucleotide ribosomal RNA is filed under the name uncultured bacterium. RNAcentral describes it as "partial 16S ribosomal RNA". It matches the Rfam family "Bacterial small subunit ribosomal RNA", at positions 524 to 776 of the family's 1533-position model. The record is from RNAcentral.
UACGAAGGUGGCAAGCGUUGUUCGGAUUUACUGGGCGUACAGGGGGCGUAGGCGGUUGGAUAAGCCCUCCGUGAAAUCUCCAGGCUUAACCUGGAAAGUGCAGAGGGGACUGUUCAGCUAGAGGAUGGGAGAGGAGCGCGGAAUUCCCGGUGUAGCGGUGAAAUGCGUAGAGAUCGGGAGGAAGGCCGGUGGCGAAGGCGGCGCUCUGGAACAUUUCUGACGCUGAGGCUCGAAAGCGUGGGGAGCAAACAGG